AAAAAAGGCAAAAAGCUACAAGAGUAUAUUCAUGAAAAAUAUAAGUAAGACCAUCCAAUAUCAAGUCCAUUACCCAAAAAAAUUAGAGUAACAAAAAUAAAUAUAAGUCAUCACCGAUGUUGGGGAGAGAAGAAAGAAUCACCGGAGACAAAAGCAUGAAUGACCCAACAUACUUUGCAAGCUUCCAUAGAAGCCAACCAAAGCCUAUCAGGUAGCAAACAUAGCAGUACCAAUAACAUUUUCAGCAGCAGCAACAAGUAAAAUUUAGACGCAUAGAGAGAGAAUGAGUAAAGCCAUGGCGUUUAAGUCUUUCAUAGCUAUGAGGUAUCAGACUUCAAGCUUUUUAGCUCAUUGAGAAC
Molecule: unclassified non-coding RNA, 359 nt
Filed under: Hevea brasiliensis (rubber tree)
Lineage: Eukaryota; Viridiplantae; Streptophyta; Magnoliopsida; Malpighiales; Euphorbiaceae
Source: RNAcentral